AAGAAAGUGGCAGAGUGGUUACGCGGUUGGCUUGAAACCAGCUUAUGGGGGUUCAACUCCCUCCUUUCUCG
This 71-nucleotide transfer RNA is filed under the name Solea solea (common sole). RNAcentral describes it as "tRNA-Ser". It matches the Rfam family "tRNA". From Rfam's summary of the family: Transfer RNA (tRNA) molecules are approximately 80 nucleotides in length. Their secondary structure includes four short double-helical elements and three loops (D, anti-codon, and T loops). The record is from RNAcentral. Lineage: Eukaryota; Metazoa; Chordata; Actinopteri; Pleuronectiformes; Soleidae.